This 497-nucleotide ribosomal RNA is filed under the name uncultured bacterium. RNAcentral's name for it is "partial 16S ribosomal RNA". It matches the Rfam family "Bacterial small subunit ribosomal RNA", at positions 28 to 507 of the family's 1533-position model. The record is from RNAcentral.
GAUGAACGCUGGCGGCGUGCCUAAUACAUGCAAGUCGAGCGAACAGACGAGGAGCUUGCUCCUCUGACGUUAGCGGCGGACGGGUGAGUAACACGUGGAUAACCUACCUAUAAGACUGGGAUCACUUCGGGAAACCGGAGCUAAUACCGGAUAAUAUAUUGAACCGCAUGGUUCAAUAGUGAAAGACGGUUUUGCUGUCACUUAUAGAUGGAUCCGCGCCGCAUUAGCUAGUUGGUAAGGUAACGGCUUACCAAGGCAACGAUGCGUAGCCGACCUGAGAGGCGGAUCGGCCACACGGGAACUGGGACGCGGUCCAGGCGCCUACGGGAGGCAGCAGUAGGGAAUCUUCCGCAGUGGGCGGAAGCUUGGCGGAGCAACGCCGCGUGAGUGAUGAAGGUCUUCGGAGCGUAAAACUCUGUUAUUAGGGAAGAACAAAUGUGUAAGUAACUAUGCACGUCUUGACGGUACCUAAUCAGAAAGCCACGGCUAACUACGUG